CUCCGGCCCGCCGCCGCCGAGCGCCGCCGCACCCGCGGAUAACACCUUCACGAAUCCAUUCCAUAAAAUGCAGAGAGCCGAUCGAGCCCUAGAUCCCCUCGCCGGCAAGGACCACCUCGAAGAUCGGGCGCCGGCCGAGACCCCGGGCAGCGGAGAUCCAGGGAGAAUCGCGGAAACCCUAACCCUAGAAGCGCCGGGGAUUCCACCGGCGAGGGCCUA
Molecule: long non-coding RNA, 219 nt
Filed under: Spirodela polyrhiza (greater duckweed)
Lineage: Eukaryota; Viridiplantae; Streptophyta; Magnoliopsida; Alismatales; Araceae
Description: long non-coding RNA (SPOL_LNC001772)
Source: RNAcentral